UACGGAGGGAGCUAGCGUUGUUCGGAAUUACUGGGCGUAAAGCGCGCGUAGGCGGCUUUGUAAGUUAGAGGUGAAAGCCCGGGGCUCAACCCCGGAACUGCCUUUAAGACUGCAUCGCUUGAAUCCGGGAGAGGUGAGUGGAAUUCCGAGUGUAGAGGUGAAAUUCGUAGAUAUUCGGAAGAACACCAGUGGCGAAGGCGGCUCACUGGACCGGUAUUGACGCUGAUGUGCGAAAGCGUGGGGAGCAAACAGG
Molecule: ribosomal RNA, 253 nt
Filed under: uncultured bacterium
Lineage: Bacteria
Also listed under: 1 other name
Description: partial 16S ribosomal RNA
Rfam family: Bacterial small subunit ribosomal RNA
Source: RNAcentral